CCGCCCAGCGUACUCCUCUCUUGCAGAACUUGCAUACAGGUGCUGCACGGCUGUCGUCAGCUCGUGUCGUGAGAUGUUGGGUUAAGUCCCGCAACGAGCGCAACCCUCGUCCUUAGUUGCUAACAGUUCGGCUGAGAACUCUAAGGAGACUGCCUACGCAAGUAGGAGGAAGGUGAGGAUGACGUCAAGUCAUCAUGGCCCUUACGUCCAGGGCUACACACGUGCUACAAUGGGGUAUACAAAGAGCAGCAAUACGGUGACGUGGAGCAAAUCUCAAAAAUGCCUCCCAGUUCGGAUUGUAGUCUGCAACUCGACUACAUGAAGUUGGAAUCGCUAGUAAUCGUAGAUCAGCUAUGCUACGGUGAAUACGA
RNAcentral lists this ribosomal RNA (371 nucleotides) under uncultured Arcobacter sp. RNAcentral describes it as "bacterial SSU rRNA". It matches the Rfam family "Bacterial small subunit ribosomal RNA", at positions 999 to 1370 of the family's 1533-position model. Lineage: Bacteria; Pseudomonadati; Campylobacterota; Epsilonproteobacteria; Campylobacterales; Arcobacteraceae. The record is from RNAcentral.